This 479-nucleotide ribosomal RNA is filed under the name uncultured bacterium. Its description in RNAcentral is "partial 16S ribosomal RNA". It matches the Rfam family "Bacterial small subunit ribosomal RNA", at positions 28 to 507 of the family's 1533-position model. The record is from RNAcentral.
GAUGAACGCUAGCGGGAGGCCUAACACAUGCAAGCCGAGCGGUAUGUGUCCUCCGGUGCAGAGAGAGCGGCGCACGAGUGCGGAACAAGUGUGCAACCUGCCUUUAUCUGGGGGAUGGCCUUUUGAAAGGAAGUGUAAUACCUAAUAAUAAAUUGCGUGGCAUGAUUUGAUAUUGAAAACUACGGUGGAUAGAGGUGGGCAGGCGCACGAUUAGUUAGUUGGUGAGGUAACGGCUGACCAAGUCAAUGAUCUUUAGGGAGCCGGAGGGUGUGAUCCCCCACACUGGGACUGAGCCCCGUACCAGACUCCUACGGGAGGCAGCAGUGAGGAAUACUGGACUAUGGGUUAGCGCCUGAUCCAGCCAUCCCGCGUGAAGGACGACGGCCCUAUGGGUUGUAAACUUCUUUUGUAUAGGGAUAAACCUACUCUCGUGAGAGUAGCUGAAGGUACUAUACGAAUAAGCACCGGCUAACUCCGUG